GGCAAAGUUGGCAUGUGAUACCUUUUCGGAAAGCCCAAAGACAGCCCUCCGACGAAAGAAGCAGGACAAUGGAACUUCUCCAUUGACUUUUUGUCGACCCCAAAUUUUGACCUUUAAGUACUUUUUCGGGCAUUUUCGUGAUUUGGGCUAUAUUACGGACCCAAAAUUACUUGUUCAAGCAUUGUUUUCGAAUUUUUUCAUGCAUCAAAGCUCGUUAAGACUAGAUGGGGUAUCCCUACAUAGCGGGCGGGACCCACGGCGAACGGUUCAUCAAGACUUAAAAAAAGAAUAUAUACGAUUGCAUUGCAUAUGCUAACGGAUGCGAUCAUACCAGCACUAAUGCACCGGAUCCCAUCAGAACUCCGCAGUCAAGCGUGCUUGGGCGAGAGUAGUACUAGGAUGGGUGACCUCCCGGGAAGUCCUCGUGUUGCAUCCCUCUUUUAUGUUUAACCUUUUUUUUUUUGGUUAAAACUUUAUGACUCAAUAACUUAUAGACUG
This 498-nucleotide ribosomal RNA is filed under the name Arabidopsis thaliana (thale cress). Lineage: Eukaryota; Viridiplantae; Streptophyta; Magnoliopsida; Brassicales; Brassicaceae. The record is from RNAcentral.